Molecule: ribosomal RNA, 450 nt
Filed under: uncultured bacterium
Lineage: Bacteria
Description: bacterial SSU rRNA
Rfam family: Bacterial small subunit ribosomal RNA
Source: RNAcentral
GUAGGGAAUUUUCGGCAAUGGGGGAAACCCUGACCGAGCAAUGCCGCGUGAAUGAUGAAGAUCUUCGGAUUGUAAAAUUCUGUUGUUAGGAAUGAAUUACACUACUAGGAAAUGAGUAGUGCUUGACAGUACCUGACUAGAAAGCCCCGGCUAACUAUGUGCCAGCAGCCGCGGUAAUACAUAGGGGGCGAGCGUUAUCCGGAAUUAUUGGGCGUAAAGCGUGCGUAGGCGGUUUAUUAAGUCUGAUGUAAAAUCCCACAGCUUAACUGUGGAGGGUCAUUGGAAACUGGUAAACUAGAGUACGGUAGGGAUAAGUGGAAUUCCAAGUGGAGCGGUGGAAUGCGUAGAGAUUUGGAGGAACACCAGUGGCGAAGGCGGCUUAUUGGGCCGGAACUGACGCUGAGGCACGAAAGCGUGGGGAGCAAACAGGAUUAGAAACCCUAGUAGUCC